CGACCUUCAGGUUGAGAACGACAGACUGGACUAACAUAUUCAACUAUACAACCCCUCUGGCCCUGCACUCUCUCUGCUGCUAGGGGAU
Sebastes umbrosus (honeycomb rockfish) is the source of this 88-nucleotide long non-coding RNA. RefSeq lists it as uncharacterized. The record is from RefSeq and is a predicted model, not a curated record. The transcript is spliced from 3 exons. NCBI's taxonomy places the organism in Eukaryota, Metazoa, Chordata, Actinopteri, Perciformes, Sebastidae.